RNAcentral lists this ribosomal RNA (183 nucleotides) under uncultured Flavobacterium sp. Its description in RNAcentral is "partial 16S ribosomal RNA". It matches the Rfam family "Bacterial small subunit ribosomal RNA", at positions 342 to 522 of the family's 1533-position model. Lineage: Bacteria; Pseudomonadati; Bacteroidota; Flavobacteriia; Flavobacteriales; Flavobacteriaceae. The record is from RNAcentral.
CGGGAGGCAGCAGUGAGGAAUAUUGGUCAAUGGACGCAAGUCUGAACCAGCCAUGCCGCGUGCAGGAUGACGGUCCUAUGGAUUGUAAACUGCUUUUGUACGAGAAGAAACAUUCCGACGUGUCGGAACUUGACGGUAUCGUAAGAAUAAGGAUCGGCUAACUCCGUGCCAGCAGCCGCGGUA